This 488-nucleotide ribosomal RNA is filed under the name uncultured bacterium. Its description in RNAcentral is "partial 16S ribosomal RNA". It matches the Rfam family "Bacterial small subunit ribosomal RNA", at positions 28 to 507 of the family's 1533-position model. The record is from RNAcentral.
GAUGAACGCUAGCGGCAGGCCUAAUACAUGCAAGUCGGACGGGAUCCAUUGAUAGCUUGCUAUCAAUGGUGAGAGUGGCGCACGGGUGCGUAACGCGUGAGCAACCUGCCUCCAUCAGGGGGAUAGCCUCUCGAAAGAGAGAUUAACACCGCAUAAUAUCAACAGUUCGCAUGUUCAGUUGAUUAAAUAUUUAUAGGAUGGAGAUGGGCUCGCGUGACAUUAGCUAGUUGGUAGGGUAACGGCUUACCAAGGCGACGAUGUCUAGGGGCUCUGAGAGAAGAAUCCCCCACACUGGUACUGAGACACGGACCAGACUCCUACGGGAGGCAGCAGUAAGGAAUAUUGGUCAAUGGGCGGAAGCCUGAACCAGCCAUGCCGCGUGCAGGAUGACUGCCCUAUGGGUUGUAAACUGCUUUUGUCCAGGAAUAAACCUAAAUACGAGUAUUUAGCUGAAUGUACUGGAAGAAUAAGGAUCGGCUAACUCCGUG